Gallus gallus (chicken) is the source of this 2655-nucleotide long non-coding RNA. The record is from Ensembl. Lineage: Eukaryota; Metazoa; Chordata; Aves; Galliformes; Phasianidae.
CCCCUAUUUUGGUUUAUAAAUGUCCCAUUUUUGGACUCGUGGAGGAAAAUGAGAAAUAAAUCGGUCCUCUUUGUGUCAGAGCAAAGCAUGGGAGUCGCACCACGCGUGACGCCUGCAUGGCAGCACACACCGAGCCGCGGAGACGUCACACAAGCAGAUGUGCCACAGCCCUUUGGAGCAGUGAGCGAACGAACCAGUUGCACAUCUGCACUGAGCAAGCCAAAGCAUGAAUCCUGAAGGCACGAGUGGAAACAAAGAGGUCAGUGCCUUCAGAGCCCCCAGCUCUGUGCACACGGUGCCGGCCCAUUGCCCACCAGCAGCGUGGGGCUGCAGUGGGUGCUGUGGGGCUUCAUGCUGCAGCUGCCCCAGAGAAGGCCAGCAGAGACCCUGCUGGUGUGCAUCACCAUUGGAAACAAGAGGGGGAAUGGGUGUUGCUUAGCAAUGCACUACGGCACGCUCCAGUCCUGGGGAAUGGGCAAAGAGCUGUCAGAAACCCCAGCAUUAUUAUUACUGUUAUUGCAAGAGCACCCAGAUGCACACGGCGCUUUGCAGACAAAAGUAAUCGGUGGUCCUUCAGCCUGUGGAGCUGCAGUGGCACAGGAUGCUGCCCCAGGCAGCAGUGGACACGGGCUGUGGAGCAGAACAGCACAGCAUGGCCCCUUUUGGCCCUCUCCCUGCACCCACUGAUGGUGUGGGAAGGUUUCUUUCUGAGCACGUUAAAGUGAGAAGUGAGCGCUGCCAAACUUCACUUUGCAUCUCUCUGUCCCGGGCUGCUGAAGCUGCAGUGCAGCCGCUGGUGCACGGUGUUGAUCUGAGCUGGUGUGCACCUGAUUGCUUCGUUACCGGGUCGGCUGUCACAUCCAUAGGAGCAGUGUCACGUUCUGAAGGACCCAUUAACACCUGUUGUGUGUGGGGAGGUAUCCUGCAGGCUCUGCAAACCGUGCCGGCUGCUUGCUGUGCGAGAUGGACGUUUCCUUCUGGUGUGGCUGCUCUGAUGUACACACAGACACCUCGCUUCCAAAGGCAGACACACAGCUGCUGUUGCACUGGAGCAGCCCUGGUAGUGGGUCAUUGUACUGCUCUGAGCAUCUCCGGCACUGGGACCCAAAUAUAACACGAGCACUUGAUCCGGCACACAUUUCGGAUAACAGAAAACUUCCUACAGCUUUUAAUGAGUUCUGGACCGGGUCCCAGGUCGUCGUCGUGCUGUUUUGUGAAAUUACUGAGAUUUAUGUCCAGCUAUUUAAUAUCAGCCUGAAAAAAGACCCCAAAGCCCUGCCCCCGCUCAGCAACGUGUCGUGCUCCCCAGCCAAAGACUUUAAUCUUUCAUCUUGUUUGGUUUUUUCCCUCUGCGCUGAUGGUUUUUUUCCUAACUCGGCCACCUCAGCACAACGUUUUGCAGGCACCUGGCAGAGCGCAAUGCAGCAGCUGCAGGCAGGCCGUGGCUUCCAGGAGGUCAGACGGUGAGCGGUGCAGGGCAGCCCUCCCUAUUGGGGUCCGGCAGUGCCCAUCUCCAGCUGGAGCCGCCGCGGAGGGGCCGUGCUGUGCCGGGGAGCUCCGAGCCGAUCGUUUUAAUACCAGAGCGACACCAAAGGGGGUCAAGUAAAUAAAUAUGCAUGCCUCACUAGUUCAAAAUAAUAAAAUUCCAAUGUGUGCAAGCCUGCUUGUUGAACAUAUGUUUGCGGCACGGCUAAGCCAUCUGGCUCAAUGUCAAGCAUUUACACCAACUGCAGUCUUACACUACCUGACAGCAGAAAAGCUUUAUUCCCCUGGUGUUUGGGCACAAAUGGAGAAAUAUUAUUGAAAUGAUUAUCUGCAUCAAGACUCAGAUUUGGUUUGACAUUUAGCUGGCUCUGUUUAAUCCAAAGGGUUGUCUGAAUGAAUAAAGAGAAGGGUUCCUCCAGAAGAUGCUGCGAGCGGCCGGGAGAGCCAAAUGAUUAAUGAGAGCCGGAGCCGGGCGCACCCUGCCCACCUCCACCCGCAUCGGGAAUGAGGACGCACUGCAGCCUGGUGGGAUGCGCACAGCCACAGUUCUGGGCAGAAGGGACUGGGAAGGAUUGCUCCACAUCCCGGCUAAAUCCAUCUACGGGAAGUCCCAGGGCGCAUCCCUGCAUCAGAGCCGGUGCUGCAGGAGAGGAGAGCGUCCCGUGCUGUCCUGGUGCCGUGCAGAGGGCGCGUUGCAGGUCUGGAGAGGGUCCAUCCCGGCUCCUUUGUAGAAAGGUGUGCCGUGACACAGGAACAAAGGAAGAACAAGAGCGCGAAGUUUGGAGCAAGUUAAUAAAAAGCGAGUGGGAGCAGGAUUUGUUUGAACUCACAGGGCUCGCACUGACAGAGACAAAUCUAUCUGAGGAAUCAGGCGUGCUACAUCUGAAAAUAAAAUGGGAUGGAGCUGCAGAGCACGGGGUGAUGAGCAGCGUUACGGCCCAGAGAGCCGCUCUGCCUGGGAGUGCUGAGCAAAGAGCCCCUCCCUCCCCCCGGGAACGCACUGUACCAUUUUAUUCCCCUUUUUCUUUACAUUUCCACUUCCGAUCGCUGAUUUGGAUUUAAAAUUAAUUUGGUGAUUUGAGUUUAAUAAGAAUGUUAGACAUGAUUUCCUUCUCACUCUUACUUUUAAUUAACUUUUUAAUUGAGAUUUAAAUGAAUUCUAAUGAACAG